This 3253-nucleotide long non-coding RNA is filed under the name Ananas comosus (pineapple). RNAcentral's name for it is "long non-coding RNA (ACOM_LNC015088)". The record is from RNAcentral. Lineage: Eukaryota; Viridiplantae; Streptophyta; Magnoliopsida; Poales; Bromeliaceae.
UGAGAAAUGAGAUAGUCAAAAAUUUGCUAAGUCCCAGAAGAGUAGCUCUCGGGAACCGGUCCCUGCCUGAGAGACCGGUCCCCGAGAGAUCGAUCCCCCAGAGAGAGACCGGUUGCAUUGCGCGCGGCAGCUCUGGCUGCGCUGGGACGAGCUUCGGGAACCGAUCCCUGAUGGAGAGACCGGUCCCCGCCUGCGCGAACAGCCCAGUCCAGGCUGUGUGAAAGAGUAAAAGUUGAGGGGUUUAAUUGCAUUUUUGCAACCCAUUGAGCUAUGUAUGGGGACAAAUGAGAUAUUUCUCUCAUUUUCACCCUCUCAUCCCCUUUCAUCUCUCUCUCUCUCUAGAAGACAAGAAGGAGAAGAAGAAGAGAAGGAAAAAGAAGGAAAAGAAGAGGAAGAAAGUGAAGAAGAAGGCAAGGAGAAGAAGAAAACCUCUCCUCUCCUUCUCUAGCUUGGAAAAGGAGCAAGCUUAGAGGUAGGCCUUGCCCCCUUUCAUGAUAAAUCCUAAACUAGGGUUUGGGUAAGCUAGGAAUUGGUUUUUAUAGAACCUUUAGAGUAUGUGAAGCUUUCAUUUUGCUUCUUUUGAGAUCAAAACCAUGGAAUGGUGGUAGUGGUGAAGCUUGAAUGAAAGCUUCCACCUCCUCUCAUGGUGAAACCCUAAAAUGGGUUUUAGUAAAGCUAAGAAAGGUUUAGAUGGACUCUUUAGAGUAUAAUGAAGCUACUUUUGCUUCCCAUUGAGAUCAAACCCUAGGUUUGAUAUAUGCAAUGGAGCUAGGGCACCCAAAUUGGGGCUUUUGCUUGCGAGAGUUCGAAAGCACAAUUGACCCUCUAGAAACCUAAUUGGGGGUAUUUCCGACGCGUUGGUGCGCUCGGAUUAACGUUACCAAAUGCCAAUGUAAAGAUAUGGGCAAAAUGGCCUAAGUUGGCUUCGUUUUGCCGCAGGUGAAAAACGAGGAGUCUAGAAAUCUCAAGAAAACCGUCGGAGCACCUAAGUAAGCCUACGAGGUAGGUGGUGCUUUUCAAACUCGUUGAACUUUCCUCUAUGCCUAAUGUAAGGUACCGGACUUCUAAAACUAUGAAGUUACGGUGUACAUUUAAAUGGCUCCGGUGAGGUUGCGGCGGAAUGUAACAUACCGGAUUUUAAAUAUAAAAGUGAAAAUAAAUAAAAAUAGUAUGAGAUACUAUUUUUAUUGGAUUUAGAGAAGUGAAAUAUAAGUUGGGAAUGACCUGUGCUGAAAUCGGAACGACAACAGAAGAUUUAGAAUUUUCUGUAAGAAACGGGGCAGAUAAAUUAGCAGAAAAUGCACAGUGUCAGAAAAUUAUGAAAAUUAUCGGAGAUGUCAGAAAUAUUUUUAUGAUGCUAGAUUUAAAGUUCCAUGCCAUUCUGACACCCGGAAGGUGAAAAGUAGAAUCCGAAAGCUACUGAUAAAGAUUACAGUUCGGUACAGUUUUCGGUGACCAAACGGGGUUGAAACUGAAAUAUUAAAAUUUCUUUGGACUCGUUAAGUGAGACCGAACAUGACUGUCAAAUUUGAGCUCAAACGGAUAUUCAGGGAGUUCCGGCGAAAGAUAUCAGAUUUCGAACUGCCUGGAGUGAAUAGUGUUUUGGGGGAGUUUACUUGGAGGUUAAGUUUCCUCUUAUACAUAUAUAAGGGUGUUAUGUCAUUUCCCUCAUUCCUCUCUAUUUGAGCCAACAUAAGAGAAAUCUCUCUCUCUCUACCAAAGAAAGAAUUGGAGAAGAAAAUUGAGGCAAGCUUGAAGAAAAUUGAAGUAGCUUGGAGUUGAAGCUUCAUCUUUAUCUUCUCUUUCCUUGGUCUAAGUGGAAGCUUGUGUUUGAGGUAAGCUUCAUGAACCUCUAAUGGUGGAUUGCUAGGAAAUAAUAUAUAUAUCCUAGAAAUAGAUUUAGAGGACUCCCUAGAUGCUAAGUAGAAGCUAUUUGCUUGAAUUAAAGGCUAAUAUGGCUAUUCUUGCAAUAGUAGCAUAUUAGAGCUCCAAAUUGGGGUUUUUGCUUGUGAGGGGUUUUGAUCUAAAUUGAUCAUGUAUAAACCUAAUUGCUAGGUAAACGAACGCGUUGGCGAAGUCGGUUCGGCGAUUCGUCGAGCCUACGCGAAGUUAUUAAAGAAACGGACGUUAGGUUUCGUUUCCGCCUGGAGGGCCGAGGCGACGUCGUAAAAUCAUGGAAAUGGAUUUGAGGCAUCGUGGCGCAUAACCGAAGACCUAUAAUUUUCGGGGCUGCGAAGCGGAGCACGGUUGAGGCGCAGUUGCAGUAUCGGGCCGUGCCGGAUACGGGUGCCGCGGGAGGCCGAUUGCAAGUGUCGACAAGCAAUCGGAACGCGAAUUAAGGUGGGUUGUGCUUACCGAAGCGACUAGGUCGCCCUUUAUGUCUAAGAAACUAAGAAUCCAUGUUGAUGCAUAUAAAUGUAAAUGAAGCAUGUAAAUUAUGCAUGUAGCUAAAUAAUGCAUGUUGAUAGUAUGAUGUAAAUGCUAAAUAGAAUUCAUUAUGAGCAAGUUGAAUAAUGGUAGAUAAUUAUGUGAAUGCCAAGUAGUGAGCAUGUAAAAGUAAAGUUGUAUGCAUGAUGAUUAUGACAUGUAGAUGCUAAGUAAACGCAUGAACGCAUGAGUAGCAUGAUGGUAAUAUACAAGAUAAAUGUUGCAUGAAAACUAGGUUGAUAACCUUAAAAUGAUUAAAGUAAAGGAUGCUAUGCUAAAGUAUAAGUGAUAAGCAUGAUAUAAGAAUAGUAAAUGCAAGUGCAUGUUAAGAAUGCUAAGUAAGGAACAUAUAUAGGUGGACAUGAAUAAACCUAUAGAUCGAGUGGCAUUAAACCUAGUGUCGAGGACAUAGGUUAAACAAAUGUGAUGUUGAACCUAAUGUAAAGAACAUAGGUUGUGAAAUGAAAGCUGCUUAACCUAGAGUCAAGUGAACCUAGGUUGGAAAAGAAUGAUGAUCCUAGUGUAAUAAACCUAGGUUAAGAAUGUGAAAGCAAUAAACCUAAAGUGAUAACUUAGGUUGUGUAAAGGACAAUGAACCUAGAGUCAAUUGGACCUAGGAGAUAAAAGCUUAGACCUAGAGAGGUCAGUUCCAUAGGGUUAAGACCAACCCUUGGUUAAUGUGAUAUGGAUUCCGGAAUCCCAAAGCUUGCUGAUGCACCCAAAGUGGUGUGGGGUGUGUGCGACGAUUUCGCCGCCCAGGGGCUAGAAAACCAUUGUCGUGGCGUGUGUGCGACGAUUUCGCCGCCGGAUGGUUAGCCAGUUUGUG